Molecule: ribosomal RNA, 468 nt
Filed under: uncultured bacterium
Lineage: Bacteria
Description: partial 16S ribosomal RNA
Rfam family: Bacterial small subunit ribosomal RNA
Source: RNAcentral
GACGAACGCUGGCGGCGUGCUUAGCACAUGCAAGUCGAACGGAAAGGCCCUGCUUUUGUGGGGUGCUCGAUUGGCGAACGGGUGAGUAACACGUGAGUAACCUGCCCUUGACUUUGGGAUAACUUCAGGAAACUGGGGCUAAUACCGGAUAGGAGCUCCUGCUGCAUGGUGUGGGUUGGAAAGUUUCGGCGGUUGGGGAUGGACUCGCGGCUUAUCAGCUUGUUGGUGGGGUAGUGGCUUACCAAGGCUUUGACGGGUAGCCGGCCUGAGAGGGUGACCGGCCACAUUGGGCCUGAGAUAGGGACCAGACGCGUACGGGCGGCAGCAGGGGGAAGUAUUGCACAAUGGGCGGACGCCUGAUGCAGCAACGCCGCGUGCGGGAUGACGGCCUUCGGGUUGUAAACCGAUUUCGCAUGUGACGAAGAGUGAGUGACGGUAAUGGGUAAAGAAGCAACGGCUAACUACGUG